CCUUCAGCCAGGCACCACCGGGCAGCUUAGAACUAGUCUGCAGGCUCUAAAGGGAGGCUUGCCCUCUUUUCUCCGAGGUUGAUGGGAGCAGGUGACACCAGACACUAGAUGUAGGGAUGCCAGACCUUCUCGGUAGGAAGCUCCUCCUUGGAAUUUCUUCCCAGGUUAGUAUGUUCAGGGUACACAGGGCCAAGCGCCCUCAAAAAAAAAAGACACUGCAUAGAGGAGCUUGGAUGUCAGUGUGUCCUCAAAUUGGAGGCUGAAAGGGCUUAGGCUGGCUAUGACCGUAGCCUGAAGAUUCCUGAUGUGGAAGUGGCCCUAGGCCGCUUCCCUUUCCCUGGUCCUAUGAAGGUCAGUACUACCUUGUGGCCCACACUCCUGGUGGCCUCCUUAGAACCUUGUCUGUCAUUUAGAUUGCCUUUAGACCAGUCUCUCUCUGGCAUUGGGGCAGACUGCCCAGACCUUAGAGGAGCUCUCCUCUUUUGGCAGAGGCUAACUCUCUGUGGAACUUCCUGCUUCCACGUAGAUUCUACUAUGCCUUGAAGUUCUUGUCAUUGGAGUUCCUAACAGGGAAUUUCAGGAUCCAGAUGGGGAAGUUAUAGACCCAAGCAGGGAAGCCCAGUCGGGGACCUGAGUAGGGGGUCGCCUGGAAAAGAAAGGGAGAGUAAAACUUCAAGGGAACAGAUUUUGGCUAGAAUCCUGGGAGCUUGGGCUAGUGAUUGGCAUCUCAGGAAGAAGUUUGGGGGCCUAAACAAACAACAGCGACAACAACAACAAAAAACAGAGCAAAAUAAUACUAACCACGAUCCACACCUGUAGUGCGUCGGUGGUGUGACUUCAGCUCAGAGUGAUUUCCCAAACCCAUUCAAUUUUCCCAGUGGAGACAAGGUUUGGCAAGCAAGGCUUCGGCCUCCAUUUGGAAAAAGGCAGCCGAGCCCGGUUCUCCCACGUGUAGGUGGGAGUGAUCCAUUUGUAAUUCCCUAUGCAAGCGCCACUACAGGUACAGAUAUGCCACCUUUAAGGAAACAGGCCUCUCUUAGGGGAGUAUCUGAGAGACUCCACUGUGCAGGUCCCUGCAGUGAUAAGAGGGGAUCAGGGACUUCUGGUGGCAGAGGCUUUAAAUUUGGUGGUCUGAUUCUGUCUAGAACCAUUCGGAACAGACUAGCAUUGUCCACUUCGGGCAAUGCCUGGAUUUUAGGAAAGGCUGUAAAUUCCAAAGAAUUGUCUUUAUUCUGGAUAGACACUUAGACACACCCAGUGAGGUCACCAUCCUUGUGCAUCCAGAAAGGACAAGAAGUGCCACCCACUUAGAGUUGCCAACUGAGUUUGGAGAUGAGAUUCUAGGCACAACCCUAGUGACACGUUGUCACACCAGGGCACCCACACCCUGCACUCACGCUGAUGGCCCUGGCGGUACUUUAGUGCCUGAUCCCAAAUCACCCAUUGAAUAUUAACUCCCUCCAGGCCACAAACGGAGGAACAGCUGGGUAGAGCCGGCAGCUCUUUGGAGAGGGCCAGGUCUUGUGGAAUGCUCUUGAGAGCGGGUUUCUGUAGCAGGCAAGCCCCUCUACUUGCAGCCCGCCAGCAAUUCGGGCCAGAAUGCCACAAGCCAGGGAAAUGGGACGUGGAUAGCCAGGACCUCCAAGGUGCGUCCAGCGGCGGUACUCAAAAAUCUUUAUCCUUCUUUUUGGUUUCUAUUUCUCCCUACUACUAGAGGGCAGCUCGGGAUCCUACACUCCCCACCACCCACUGAAGGAAAAGUUCUCCCUGCACCAAAAUCUUCUAGGCUUCCACUGAUCCCACGUAGACAAGCUGGCGCCUGCAGACAGAGACGCACCCGGAGACAAAAACGCACAGACACCAACACCGGGAAGCACUCAGUGGGCACUCGUAGGCUCUAUCUCUGGUUGCCUUAUUUGCUGGGGCAGCUGCUGCCCUUCAACAGUCUAGGCGCAGUCGGGUUUCUUCUUCCCGGUGAUAUCUCACCGGCUUUAAGAACCUGGGGCAGUCGCUGCUGUCACCUCCUUCAGUUCUUCGGGGAGGCGCUCAGGUGCCCGAGGUUCAAACAACUCGGUGUACCUUCUCUAAGCCUCUUUUUCUCUGUAUGUGCAUCUCAGUCUCACCCUCCUCUCUCUCUUCCUCCCUCCCCUUUCUUUCUGUCCCCAUCUCCCUCCCCAGCCCCCAUUUUCCAUUUCUUUAGCCUUUCCAACCUAAUCUUCCAUUUUGUUUACUCCCCUGCCCUUUAAUCCAGGGCAGCCUGAAAGCUGUUCGCAAGCCAGGCAGGAGGAAGGAGGGAUGGCCAGGCGGGUCUCCAGUCUGGGAGUCACCACUUAGCGUUCUGCACCUGUGCUGUUUAGGGUCUGGGCUUCCCUCUGCCCACUCUCCAGUUUCAUUCCAUUCCCGUGGCCCUCGCUGUGGUUGGCUGGGGCCUGCAGGCUGACACUCUGUUCAAAUCUCUAGGGAGACUGAAGCUUGCAGUCACAGUAAGUCUUUGUCGCUUGCCUCUGGGCUUUUCUGUGGCAGGACGGCUCCCUGCCCUUGCCAGUUAGAGGUUCCCAUUUUCCUUUUAUGCUGUUCAGGGGCUUCUGGGCCAAAACUCACAGUGGAAGCCACACCAUACACAACACUAGGCUGACUCUGUGACUUGGAGGCUCAGUUUCUGCCAGGAGGGCCAAAGGCCUCACACAGUCACAGGUCAGCCCUCCUCCCAACCCGUCUUCAGUUUAUCCCUGGUCCGGAGGGAGCCUGGAAACUCUGGAGUAGAGCAUGGAAGAUUCUCUUGUGUGCUUUCAGAUGCAAAGCUCCUUUGUCUUCUGGGCCCUUUGAUUUCCCCAAAGGAAUACUCUGGACCCCUUCUUGAGUAACUUUCACUAUCUGCAGUCAGAAGGCUCUGGUGUUUAGAUUUAUAAUGAAAGGAACUCUCCCCCCUCUGACCAAAAUAAAAUUCUUCCAUCGCAUAUCCUUGGAGGCAGCAUUUCUCCAGCCCCUCAGAGAGUCAGUUCCUCGGGAAUGGGAAUAGCUGAACUGGGCUGCUGCCCAGCACUGCAUCCAGGGAGGACAAUUCUGAUAGAGUGCGGGGCUGGUCCUGUGUCUCCAGUGUCAUCUGAGCAUCAAGAGCAGGCAACCCUGGGCUUGCCUUUGAAGGAUGGGGCUUUUCUGGCUCAGAAGACAGGGCCUUUCUUUUGUCUUUUGUCAGGGAAGGCUACUGGUGGAAUCUCCUUUUCCCAUAGUUCCUGGUCAGGAAGCAUUCUUUCAGUGUGGGGGGGAGUGCAUUCACCAAGCCCCCCCAUCAAUUCCUCAGCAUCCUGUGUAGCUCCUCCUGUCCAUCUGCACACCUUCAUUGGUCCUGUACACAUUUCCAUGCCUUUUCCAUUCUCCUACGCACGUUAUCUUAACCGGUACAUUUAGAUAAUAUCAGAGCUGGCUGUUCUCACUUGGAAGAAAUUAAGUAUGUGAGAAAAGUUGCAGCUCCAACACGAAAAACCACCUAAAUUAAUAAUAAGGAUUUGUUCUGAAGCAGAAUUCAGUUGCAGCAGCCUCGUGGCGUUCUUUGUGAGUGAAGCUACUUUUAAGUAAAACAGCAGCUAUUCAUUAUAUAUUCUGUUUUAUUUUAUUUUAUGUUUUUAUUUUUUUAAAAAAAAUGGAUGCUGUCUUCGGGUUGGAGAGGGCAGCUGCAGAGGUGGUGGGGGAAGGCCUGCCUGGAACUCUCUGUGAGAAACAAACUAUUUUUGACGUGGGAAAGCCGAUGAAGUCCAUACAUCUGUGUUGUGGCACUUUCAUUUUGGAGUGCUGUGUAUUUUACCUGGGCUGAGACUUCCUCGUGUGAAUGAAUAGGGAUGGGUACUUGACGUACUGUUUGAAUAGUCUUUUUGAGGGGUGGCCAUUGCUCCUGGCCUAUUGUUUUACCAGAUUCUGCAGCCCAGGCUGUGUUUGUCCCUCACUCGGGUUCCCUUGUUUCUUCUGGUCUGUUGCCCUCACUUCUCUGACUCUGCCAGUUACAAUUCUGUCAUUGCGUUCUAGCCAGAAGGGACAUAGGAGCAUGCUGCCCUGCAGUCAGCUUUGUCUGUUCAGAGUGAGUGGAGCAGGGCUGUAUUUCCUAACAUGGGGCGGCGCCUGCCCCCGACAUCCUUUAUUUCCUGGGGAUCUGAAGAAUCUGGUACACGGGAUUCUUCCAAAGGAUGUGGGACGGGUAGGUCACAGAGAUGUGGUCCAACUAUUGGUUUAGUCUCAGGAUAUUUCACUUAACUUGGUAGUAUAAGUUGGUGUUAUCCAAGGGCCAGAGGUGGAGGAGGGAACAAGGCCCCGUAGUCACUAGGGAAAGAGUCUAGAACAGAAAUCCAUACCUACCUAGUGAUGAAAUUUACUGUUUUGCUAUAAGCCUUAUAAAUCCUUAUAUAAAUUUCUCAUCAAAGACAUUCAACCCUUUGUAGGUGAGGUCAGAAAGAGCCCCCUUUGGGGGUUGGUUUUCCCCCUAAGCCUCUGCACAGGGUGGUUCUUGAUUUUCUAGCUGGAUACUUCAUGUUUUCCAAUCACAAGGCUUCCUGCCCAGGUGAAGAUGUGGACCGUUGGCACAGACAGCACCUUGAAGACGAGGGUGUCAGUGGGAACUGCAGCUGUCACUCAUUCUGCUAUCUGACGUCAAGGAGGAUGUUCUCAGAAAGCAGAACCUGGGUGAAGGGGCGGGGCAUACUUGAAGAAGGACAUUUCCGCUGUCCAAUAGGACUGAAAAUCAGUGAGGACAGGUGGCCAUGGAUAUUGGUGGGAGUUCAAGCACUGAAGGUUUUCAGCCUCCGCGUUUCUCUGGAUGAAUAGUCCGGGGAUUCUCAUCAGCCUUCAGAGCUGAAGACAAUAAGGACCUCCUAAUGCCACAGGGCCAUGUGAAUGUCUGCAGGUCCUUAUUACCCCAGGUCUCAAGGACAGGGUGAUUUCUUUGGGACAAAUCUUUCAGUCUCUAAGAAGGAGGGCCUACUGUGUCUCCAGGGAUCACCACCAUCUCUGCUUGCACAAAGAAGGGGAGUUUGCCAGGGUUCCAGCUUUCAAAAAGUAGGGGCUUCUCCCUGGUGGUCCCUUCCAGUCUUUCUUUCUGUCCCAUCUCCAGUCCUUGGUGACUGUUGACUUCAGAACCCCUCUCUACCAGGAGCCCAUGCUGCUACACUAUGCUGGGACUCAGGCAGGGGACCGUCAUCUUUCAGUCUGGUCUCUUCAGGCUUACUCUUAGUCAAAAAGUAGAAUCACUGGGUCCAAGCUGCUACAAUUAUUAAUAUGUCAUAGUUUAUUCUGUGGGCUAUGGGCACAUAUAUGUAA
Long non-coding RNA from Alexandromys fortis (reed vole), 5304 nucleotides. RefSeq lists it as uncharacterized. The record is from RefSeq and is a predicted model, not a curated record. Lineage: Eukaryota; Metazoa; Chordata; Mammalia; Rodentia; Cricetidae. The transcript is spliced from 4 exons.